This 30-nucleotide non-coding RNA is filed under the name Mus musculus (house mouse). The record is from RNAcentral. Lineage: Eukaryota; Metazoa; Chordata; Mammalia; Rodentia; Muridae.
UACAUGAAUCUUCAGACCUGAUCCAACCCA